Molecule: ribosomal RNA, 517 nt
Filed under: uncultured eukaryote
Lineage: Eukaryota
Description: bacterial SSU rRNA
Rfam family: Eukaryotic small subunit ribosomal RNA
Source: RNAcentral
GGAUAUCUUACCUGUAUUUAUUAGACUUGAAAAUUGGUACUGUAGUAAUACAGUUCUUUAAGGUUGAACCAUAAUAACUAUGUUGUAACAAACAUAAAACGAAUCGUAUUUCGAUCCUUCGAGAUCGACGAUGAAUCGUUCAAGUUUCUGACCUAUCAAUUCAAGAAGGUAGUGUAUUGGACCACCUUGAUUGUAACGGGUACGGAGAAUUAGGGUUCGAUUCCGGAGAGGGGAGCCUGAGAAACGGCUACCACUUCCAAGGAAGGCAGCAGGCGCGCAAAUUACCCCCAAUCUCAAUACGAGGAGGUAGUGAAUAAAAAUAACAAUCCAGAGCUUUGUAAAAAAGUUUUGGAAUUGGAAUGAGAACAAUGUAAAUACCUUAACGAGGAACAAUUGGAGGGCAAGUCUGGUGCCAGCAGCCGCGGUAAUUCCAGCUCCAAUAGCGUAUGCUAAAGUUGUUGCAGUUAAAAAGCUCGUAGUCGAAUUUUUAAUUAUUUAUUUUUGUUUAAUUUGGAAU